Molecule: signal recognition particle RNA, 79 nt
Filed under: Zoogloeaceae bacterium
Lineage: Bacteria; Pseudomonadati; Pseudomonadota; Betaproteobacteria; Rhodocyclales; Zoogloeaceae
Description: partial signal recognition particle sRNA small type
Rfam family: Bacterial small signal recognition particle RNA
About the family: The signal recognition particle (SRP) is a universally conserved ribonucleoprotein involved in the co-translational targeting of proteins to membranes.
Source: RNAcentral
GGCGGGUCUCCCCGCAUUGCAGGAUGGUGAAUCUGGUCAGGUUCGGAAGAAAGCAGCCACAGCUAUCUCAUGCAAGUGC